CCAUUUCAGUAAUACGUAUAUUAAAAUUGUAACGAUGCAGAGAAGCGUUGUAUGACUCCGGUGAAACGAUGACACGCAAAAUCAUGAAGCAUUUCACAUUCUU
Small nuclear RNA from Argiope bruennichi, 103 nucleotides. NCBI's taxonomy places the organism in Eukaryota, Metazoa, Arthropoda, Arachnida, Araneae, Araneidae. The record is from RefSeq and is a predicted model, not a curated record.